GAUGAACGCUGGCGGCGUGCCUAAUACAUGCAAGUCGAGCGAACGGACGAGAAGCUUGCUUCUCUGAUGUUAUCGGCGGACGGGUUAGUAACACGUGGAUAACCGACCUAUAAGACUGGGAUAACUUCGGGAAACCGGAUCUAAUACCGGAUAAUAUUAUGAACCGCAUGGUUCAAAAGUGAAAGACGGUCUUGCUGUCACUUAUAGAUGGAUCCGCGCUGCAUUAGCUAGUUGGUAAGGUAACGGCUUACCAAGGCAACGAUGCAUAUCCGACCUGAGAGGGUGAUCGGCAACACUGGAACUGAGACACGGUCCAGACUCCUACGGGAGGCAGCAGUAGGGAAUCUUCCGCAAUGGGCGAAAGCCUGACGGAGCAACGCCGCGUGAGUGAUGAAGGUCUUCGGAUCGUAAAAAUCUGUUAUUAGGGAAGAACAUAUGUGUAAGUAACUGUGCACAUCUUGACGGUACCUAAUCAGAAAGCCACGGCUAACUACGUG
This 497-nucleotide ribosomal RNA is filed under the name uncultured bacterium. Its description in RNAcentral is "partial 16S ribosomal RNA". It matches the Rfam family "Bacterial small subunit ribosomal RNA", at positions 28 to 507 of the family's 1533-position model. The record is from RNAcentral.